AACGAACGCUGGCGGCAGGCUUAACACAUGCAAGUCGAACGCCCCGCAAGGGGAGUGGCAGACGGGUGAGUAACGCGUGGGAACAUACCCUUUCCUGCGGAAUAGCUCCGGGAAACUGGAAUUAAUACCGCAUACGCCCUACGGGGGAAAGAUUUAUCGGGGAAGGAUUGGCCCGCGUUGGAUUAGCUAGUUGGUGGGGUAAAGGCCUACCAAGGCGACGAUCCAUAGCUGGUCUGAGAGGAUGAUCAGCCACAUUGGGACUGAGACACGGCCCAAACUCCUACGGGAGGCAGCAGUGGGGAAUAUUGGACAAUGGGCGCAAGCCUGAUCCAGCCAUGCCGCGUGAGUGAUGAAGGCCUUAGGGUUGUAAAGCUCUUCUC
Molecule: ribosomal RNA, 380 nt
Filed under: Rhizobium sp. oral taxon C41
Lineage: Bacteria; Pseudomonadati; Pseudomonadota; Alphaproteobacteria; Hyphomicrobiales; Rhizobiaceae
Description: bacterial SSU rRNA
Rfam family: Bacterial small subunit ribosomal RNA
Source: RNAcentral